RNAcentral lists this ribosomal RNA (510 nucleotides) under uncultured bacterium. RNAcentral describes it as "partial 16S ribosomal RNA". It matches the Rfam family "Bacterial small subunit ribosomal RNA", at positions 28 to 507 of the family's 1533-position model. The record is from RNAcentral.
GACGAACGCUGGCGGCGUGCUUAACACAUGCAAGUCGAACGAAGAGCGACGGAAGCUUGCUUCUAUCAAUCUUAGUGGCGAAUGGGUGAGUAACGCGUAAUCAACCUGCCCUUCAGAGGGGGACAACAGUUGGAAACGACUGCUAAUACCGCAUACGAUCUAAUCUCGGCAUCGAGGAUGGAUGAAAGGUGGCCUCUACAUGUAAGCUAUCACUGAAGGAGGGGAUUGCGUCUGAUUAGCUAGUUGGAGGGGUAACGGCCCACCAAGGCGAUGAUCAGUAGCCGGUCUGAGAGGAUGAACGGCCACAUUGGGACUGAGACACGGCCCAGACUCCUACGGGAGGCAGCAGUGGGGAAUCUUCCGCAAUGGACGAAAGUCUGACGGAGCAACGCCGCGUGAGUGAUGACGGCCUUCGGGUUGUAAAGCUCUGUUAAUCGGGACGAAAGGCCUUCUUGCGAAUAGUGAGAAGGAUUGACGGUACCGGAAUAGAAAGCCACGGCUAACUACGUG